GGUUCCAACUCAAACUUUUGAGUUUCCAGCUAAGUUCUCCUUUGGUUCACUAGCUUCCACUACACCAAAAACUAGUUUUCACAACACAUCCAUAUAACUCUAUUGAAAAAGUAUUAUAAUAUCUAAAAAGCUAAACCUAAAAAGUGACAAAACAAAAAAAAAAGGCGGACUUUACAAAAUUUGGGCCUACACUCAAAAAAUUAAGCAACACACUUGAACUUAUCAAAUUCUUCAUUUCCCCUCAUCUCUCUCUUCUUUCGUCUCUCUCUCAUCUUUUCCCCAUUCUAUCUCUCUCCAUUUUGUCUAAUCUCAUUAUUCAAGAGCUUGGAAAGAACAAAAAGAGAAAAUUUGUUAUUUUGAUGUAUCAUCAAUCUCUAUCUCUUGAGCUUUCAACAAUGGAGCUCUAGCCUUCAAUAUUCUGGGAGUAUAAAGUGGUUUCUAUUAUCACAAGCUUCUUCAUCAUCCAACAAGUCAUCUAUUGUCCAUCAUCUGGUAGAUAUUUUCUUCGAACAACCAAAACUAAGGGUUGCAACUUUGAAGAAUGCCUAUUGUACAAAGAAGAGAGAGAGUGCGAUGGCUAUUGGUAAACUUGGAUAUAACAAGGUCAUCUAGUAAGAAGGAAAAGAUGAUGGAGAAGAAAUAACAUUUGACUGCAAUUGAAAAUGAGAAUGUAAGGAUGGAUGUUGUAUUCUACACAGUUGGGAGUACAUUUUGCUUGUUGUUGUAAGCCUACUUCAAGCUUUAUACAACUAUUGGCUUGAAGUUGAUCACUUACAAUCAAGAUUGAGCACUGCAUCACAAUGUCAUUAUGUUAGUUUGUGCCAUUUCAGUAAUACCACUAGAGUCUUGUAGAUGAUUUAGACAGUUAUUUACAUCUUUUGCAUACAAUUACCAAUGAUGAUUUACUAUUUUGUAAGCCUAGAUUAGGCAAAAUAUUAUAAUUCUAUUCAAGUCACUACACCAAAUACCUCUUUCUAUAAUACAUAAUUAUAAGCUAAUGGGAAAAGUAUUAUAAUAGGUAACCUAAAAAGUUAGAAAGCAAGUUAAAAUGGAGGGAAACAAAAAAAAAUUGUAGAUCUUUUAUAUAUUUAAAAAAGAAAAACAAAACCCUAUAUUCCCUAUCUCAUCCCUCGAUCUCUUCCGUUCUUUUUCUCUCUCUUUCUCCAGUCACUGCCUUCCUUCUCUCCAUUCUAUCUCCCUCUCUGUCUUGCAGUGGCUAAAGGAGGCUACAGGGCUUGCAGUGCGAGGUGGGACGGGGAGGCUAGCAAUGCAAGGUGGGAUGGCGUGUUGGUUUCAUGUUCGGCGAAGCUGGGUUCAACGAUGGGGUUUAGGCUUCAUUCAAUCAGGUUGUGCUCUCUGCC
This is a long non-coding RNA of Humulus lupulus (European hop), 1361 nucleotides long. RefSeq lists it as uncharacterized. NCBI's taxonomy places the organism in Eukaryota, Viridiplantae, Streptophyta, Magnoliopsida, Rosales, Cannabaceae. The record is from RefSeq and is a predicted model, not a curated record. The transcript has 4 exons.